This 420-nucleotide ribosomal RNA is filed under the name uncultured archaeon. Its description in RNAcentral is "partial 16S ribosomal RNA". It matches the Rfam family "Archaeal small subunit ribosomal RNA", at positions 323 to 746 of the family's 1478-position model. The record is from RNAcentral.
CUACGGGUGGCUCCAGUCGCGAAACCUUUACAAUGCACGCAAGUGUGAUAAGGGUAUCCUACGUGUCGGCCGUUGGUCGACUUUUUUCGAGUUUAAAACGCUCGGAGAAUAAGGGGUGGGCAAGACCGGUGCCAGCCACCGCGGUAAUACCGGCGCCCCAAGUGGUAGUCGCGUUUAUUGGGCUUAAAGCAUCCGUAGCUGGUUAUGUAAGUUUCUGGUGAAAUCCAAUAGCUUAACUAUUGGGCGUGCUGGAAAGACUGCAUAGCUAGAGACCGGGAGGAGCUAGAGGUAUGUCGGGGGGAGCGGUAAAAUGUGGUAAUCCUCGAUAGACCAUCAGUGGCGAAGGCGUCUAGCUAGAACGGGUCUGACAGUGAGGGAUGAAAGCCAGGGGAGCAAACCGGAUUAGAUACCCCUGUAGUC